UUGAAGAUAAAGUGUCAAAGUAACUUGAUUAUUAACUGACGUUGAAAAACUAUAACUACUUAGUUUCAGCCUCUACCUUCGCCCCCCACUAACACUACUGCUAAGUGCUAACCCUCCUUGAUCUCAGCUAAUACGAAGUCCGCUGACUUCGUCCCUUCGACUUCCAAGUUCCAACUAUCCUGGAAGAACUCAUUUGACAGUAAGCACAACUAUUGGACUAAACUGCAGUUCCUUGUUUGGUUUGCAGUAUGGACAAAGAGGAUAUUUGGAAUACAGUUUCUACAGAAACUACAAACUUAUUCCUAGCAACAUUCUUUAUCCGUCAUGAGAGCUCACAAGUCUUCUCAGUAUGAUCCUUCAGCAAUAAUGGUCUUCUCGGUACGCUCCUUUACCGAUAAUGGGGGGUGGGGACCCAACACUGCACCGUCGUCGUCAUCAUCCAUACAAGUACACAUAUCAGGGCCAGCAUAACAGAAUACAGACCGUCCAUUUAAGCAAGCACAUCCACACCCUUUGUAAUCAUCUUAUUAGAGUGAACUUCUAUAUUUAAAGAAAGGAAAAAGGUAAAAACAAGCUCUCCCCUACUGCCACUAUCACCCCUAUCUCUACUUGUCAAUUCAGUCAAAGGGGAAUUCACAAUCCUACAACGUUUUUCACUCAUCAACAUAUCUCUAAGUUCAAAUAUUACAACUGCAAAAAUGAGGUCAUUGGGUGACAAAAGACAAACCUGCACAUUGCUUAUCUUCUGCCUUUUCCCUUUCGAGCAUCUAUUUAGAUUGAGUUGAGCAUCUUCUGGUUUGUCGAGAGAGGGGAUCUUUUGUAUGAAUGAUAGGAACGCAUCAGUAUGGGAAACAAUAGCAGAAGACCAACAAUGUCGGGAUAAUUCAUCAUCACCAUCAUCAUCUGCAUCUUUCAGGACAAUGGCAUACCUGAAAUUCCAACUCAGGAGGAGCCUCCCUUGGAAGUCUGAAAAAUUCCAAUAAGGCAUUCACAAUCACAUCAGCAAAUUACAGAAGAAUCCUCAAUACAGAUAAAGCUGAGGCAAACUCCAUUCUAAAACAAAAUAAAAGACUAAAGAAUAAUGCAGCUUACCAGUUAUAUAGGAACAAGUUGGAUGCAUCUCGUCAUAGAAAAUAAUCAACAAACACAAUAUCAAUGUCGAGCUGUGACGAACCAUAGAACUCCAUUCCAAACCCAAAAGACUAACGAACAGUGCAGCUUACCAAGUUUCGUAGGAAGAAGUUGGCUAUGCUGUAGAAGUACCAUAUGCAUCUCGUUACAAGACAAAAAAUAACAAAGUUAGUAUCAUAACAAACAAAAUAUCAAUGUCGCCCACAAAGACUAAAGAACAGUGUAGCUUACCAAUUAUAUAGGAAGAAGUUGACUGUAAUCUAAAGGUGCCAUGACCGAAAAGAUGCAU
This 1420-nucleotide long non-coding RNA is filed under the name Linum usitatissimum (flax). RNAcentral describes it as "long non-coding RNA (LUSI_LNC007444)". The record is from RNAcentral. Lineage: Eukaryota; Viridiplantae; Streptophyta; Magnoliopsida; Malpighiales; Linaceae.